GGGGGAGGGACUGAGCCUGCUCUACAAGUGGGGAUGGAUGUUUGUGUAUUUACUAAAUAGAUGGCUCCACAAUAACCUGCAUCUCUGUGCACACACCUGGGUGGGUAAGGUAUCUAAUACGCCCAGCCCGGGAAGCCAGACUUUUCUUUUGAUGGAGGGGAGGAAAAAAAAACCAAACCAGAAGAGCACAGUGAAUAUUUAAAACUUUGGGGAUUUUUUAUUAUGGCAGAAUAUAAUGGGAUUUUCCCCAUCAUCAGAAGAUAAUUUUUGACCAGAAAGAGGACAAGUAAGGGGCUGGCUCUGACAGGAAUAGACUAGCUGCAUACCUCGUCAUCCUGUGGGUGGACCACUCUGCUGCAGAAAACAUGUUACUGGGCUGUGAUAUGAUCUGUGGGAGAUGGAUGAUGUGGACAAAAGCUGGCUGCCAAGGAGCAGGAGAAAAGUAGUAGCCACAAUGCCUGUUGGAGUCAGCAAGAGAAGAUAAUAAAUCCUUUUGCUCUUUUAGUCUGUUGGUAUCUAACUCCAAAAUUCAAUAGACUAAGUGCAAGUGUGGCAGAAACUCUUACCAGUCUACUCUUC
This is a long non-coding RNA of Hirundo rustica (Barn swallow), 579 nucleotides long. RefSeq lists it as uncharacterized. The transcript is spliced from 3 exons. Lineage: Eukaryota; Metazoa; Chordata; Aves; Passeriformes; Hirundinidae. The record is from RefSeq and is a predicted model, not a curated record.